AACGAACGCUGGCGGCGUGCCUAAUACAUGCAAGUCGAGCGAAUGGAUUAAGAGCUUGCUCUUAUGAAGUUAGCGGCGGACGGGUGAGUAACACGUGGGUAACCUGCCCAUAAGACUGGGAUAACUCCGGGAAACCGGGGCUAAUACCGGAUAACAUUUUGAACCGCAUGGUUCGAAAUUGAAAGGCGGCUUCGGCUGUCACUUAUGGAUGGACCCGCGUCGCAUUAGCUAGUUGGUGAGGUAACGGCUCACCAAGGCAACGAUGCGUAGCCGACCUGAGAGGGUGGUCGGCCACACUGGGACUGAGACACGGCCCAGACGCCUACGGGAGGCAGCAGUAGGGAAUCUUCCGCAAUGGACGAAAGUCUGACGGAGCAACGCCGCGUGAGUGAUGAAGGCUUUCGGGUCGUAAAACUCUGUUGUUAGGGAAGAACAAGUGCUAGUUGAAUAAGCUGGCACCUUGACGGUACCUAACCAGAAAGCCACGGCUAACUACGUGCCAGCCGCCGCGGUAA
Molecule: ribosomal RNA, 515 nt
Filed under: uncultured bacterium
Lineage: Bacteria
Description: partial 16S ribosomal RNA
Rfam family: Bacterial small subunit ribosomal RNA
Source: RNAcentral